Molecule: non-coding RNA, 113 nt
Organism: Acanthosepion pharaonis
Lineage: Eukaryota; Metazoa; Mollusca; Cephalopoda; Sepiida; Sepiidae
Source: the annotation of a GenBank genome assembly
UAUGGCUAUAUCAUGUUGAAACACUGGUUCUCAUGCAAUCACUGAAGUUAAACAAUAUCAAGCCUGGUCGGUACCUAGAUGCGUGACUGCUUGGAAAUAUCAGGUGCUGUAAG